RNAcentral lists this ribosomal RNA (253 nucleotides) under uncultured bacterium. RNAcentral's name for it is "partial 16S ribosomal RNA". It matches the Rfam family "Bacterial small subunit ribosomal RNA", at positions 524 to 776 of the family's 1533-position model. The record is from RNAcentral.
UACGGAGGGUGCAAGCGUUGUCCGGAUUUAUUGGGUUUAAAGGGUGCGUAGGCGGCUUUUUAAGUCAGUGGUGAAAUCCAACAGCUCAACUGUUGAACUGCCAUUGAUACUGGAGAGCUUGAGUACAGACGAGGUAGGCGGAAUCUAUGGUGUAGCGGUGAAAUGCAUAGAUACCAUAAAGAACACCGAUUGCGAAGGCAGCUUACUAGGCUGUAACUGACGCUGAGGCACGAAAGUGUGGGGAUCAAACAGG